This is a long non-coding RNA of Megalops cyprinoides (Indo-Pacific tarpon), 1203 nucleotides long. RefSeq lists it as uncharacterized. Lineage: Eukaryota; Metazoa; Chordata; Actinopteri; Elopiformes; Megalopidae. The transcript is spliced from 5 exons. The record is from RefSeq and is a predicted model, not a curated record.
GGCUAUACGGGCAGCGUGGCGUUGGAAGGACUGAGACAAGUAGUUAGCUAGCGUUGCAUAUUUAAAAGAAAAUCGUAUAACGUGCUAAUAAGAAACAAUGCAUGUGAUGACAUCAGAUGAUAUAGUCGUGCUUAAACCUCCCUAAAAGAAUCGGAGAUGGAUGACCAUGGAUCGAAGGGAAGCCAGUGCCCCUCCACAAUUCAUUGCUUCGUGAUUUACUUCACAACAAGCAAGGCGAUCACACAUCGUUCAGGAGAUUCUAAAUGAAAGGGUGGCAAAGGCUGAAGGGUGAAUGAAAUUCAGCCGUUCCAGCCGAGGGAUCGGAACUGUCACCUUGGAGACAUUCAGUGUUCAUUGAUAUGCCGAAGUUGAGGGCAUUUGCUGUGGAGAGAUGCGGAAAUGAGACCUUGACAAGUGUCACGGCCCUGCCUUCCAGUGAUGAUACUCGUGCUUGUUAAUCUGUGCUCUCUGUGUGUGUGGUCGCUUCCGCCUGCUCAUUUGAGGCCCUGGCUCCCAACAGCCACAGCUUGCUCCCUCUCCCCAUUUUAGUCUCCUGGCCAUAGACAGUGUUUAUUUUGUUAGUUUCUUUUUGCAUCCCCACAUACACUACACUUACUGUACUGUACACGUACUGGUGGACCAUCCACAUUGGUGGAUGCAGUUUUAAUGUUUAGUGCUUUAGUACACUACACUGUUUGGUGUGGUGGUCCACUUCUUGUGACUUGGAGCCAGGUCAUGACACACGGGAAAAGGAAAGAAUUUAAGUUCUAAAUAAAAAAAAAUUAUAAAAUUAAUGCGUUGUCUGGCUUACUGCACUCACUCCCAGGGAAGCACAUGUUGCCAUAGUCCUACAUUUCCUGACCUUUAUCAGAUUUAUACUGCAACUCUUAAUUUGUUAUCAGGAGUGUCUUCAUUUGCAAAACUUUGUAGACUAAACUUCCUAAUUUAACCCACAUUUUUGCUGUAGUAAAUUUGUCAGGUUUGAUACAGUGCAUAUUGGCUAGAAUCCUUUUAGAGGUCCCAUGAUCUUUUGGACUGGAUUUGUCAAGUUUUGUGUGUGUUCUUGUGGGUGUUUGUCUGACUGAGUUGAGGCAGUAACUACUGUAGUGGUGUAGUAAGGAACAAAGCUUGUAACCUUAAAGGUUACCCUUUCCAUGCUGGGGCACCGCUUUUGUAGACUUGGACAAGGUAUUUACCCCAAAA